CACAUGCAAGUCGAGCGAAGAAACUUCUUGACUACUUCGUGUUGGUUUUCCGGACGAUGAGCGGUGAGGAACCUGCCCCGAGUGAGAAAUCUGCCCUUAAAAACUCGAAUAUCCCUCGGAUAUCCCCUUAAUACCGGAUGUGGCCCAGGGGGAAUGUCUUCCCCUGUCUAAAGGUCGUCGAGACCUAGCUUUUGGAUGAUGUCGCGGUCUAUCACCUUGUUGGUGAGGUAACGGCUCACCGAGGGUUUGACGGAUAGCUGGUCUGAGAGGAUGAUCAGCCUCUCCUAAACUGAGACACGGUGCAAACUCUUACGGGUGGGACCAAACCAUAAUCAUUCCCAAUGGCGGGAGGCCUGAUGGUUUUCCGCCUGGAGACCUAUUAAGGGCUUCAGUACAAAGACCCCUGUUGUCUAAGAAUAUCACUCCCAAUACAAGCUUGCAAGCUUGAUAUUACCAAAGGAGGAAGGGACGGCUAAAUCUGUGCCACCAACCGAGCUAAUACGCAGGUCCCAAGCGCUGUUGGGAUUUAUUGGGGGUCAACGUCGCGAAGCCACUCGAUACUGUUGGGAGUGAAAUCUUCGGGAUCAGCGCGGAAUUCGUGCUGAAAACUAUCUGUGUACAGAUUCGGAGAGGAGCUUGGAAUUCUCAGUGUACCCUCGGAAUGCGUACAGACCCUGAGGAGCACCAGCUGGGAGAGCAGAUCUCUGUACGUAUUCUGACACUGAGGCACGAAACUGGGGUAACUAAGAGGAUGAUAUACCUUCGUAUCCCGUGCCGUAAACUAUGCACUCUUGCGGCCGCCUGUUCAACCCCGUCCCGUGGCUAGCUCACGCGGUAUUGACGCCGCCUGGGCAGUACGGUCGCACGAUGUUAGACUAAUACGAAGUUGACGCGAGCAUGCUUCACCUGGUGUAGACAUGUGGCUAAUGCCAUGCAACACUGAGUGUCCUUACCUGGCCUACACAUGUAGUGCACGCUGCGAAUCUCGUUUUCUAGAACUGCUAAAGGCCGCUGCAUGCCGACCCUGUCCUAGGCUGCAACGUAGAUGACGCCACCACUAGGACACUCCGGUUCACGUCGCAGCGAUGUAAUACGUCAGCUCUCGUACCACUGACUGCAUGCACUAGACAUGACUGCAGGAUCAGUCCAGUGCGGUAGAACCUGCAGGCUAGACCGUAUCGAAUCCAGUCUGAAUCAAGUGGGAACUGAACCCUCGAAGCU
RNAcentral lists this ribosomal RNA (1221 nucleotides) under uncultured bacterium. RNAcentral's name for it is "bacterial SSU rRNA". The stretch from base 1 to 994 matches the Rfam family "Bacterial small subunit ribosomal RNA". The record is from RNAcentral.